GACGAACGCUGGCGGCGUGCUUAACACAUGCAAGUCGAACGGAAAGGCCCUGCUUUUGUGGGGUGCUCGAGUGGCGAACGGGUGAGUAACACGUGAGUAACCUGCCCUUGACUUUGGGAUAACUUCAGGAAACUGGGGCUAAUACCGGAUAGGAGCUCCUGCUGCAUGGUGGGGGUUGGAAAGUUUCGGCGGUUGGGGAUGGACUCGCGGCUUAUCAGCUUGUUGGUGGGGUAGUGGCUUACCAAGGCUUUGACGGGUAGCCGGCCUGCGAGGGUGACCGGCCACAUUGGGACUGAGAUACGGCCCAGACUCCUACGGGAGGCAGCAGUGGGGAAUAUUGCACAAUGGGCGGAAGCCUGAUGCAGCAACGCCGCGUGCGGGAUGACGGCCUGCGGGUUGUAAACCGCUGUCGCCUGUGACGAAGCGUGAGUGACGGUAAUGGGUAAAGAAGCACCGGCUAACUACGUG
Molecule: ribosomal RNA, 468 nt
Filed under: uncultured bacterium
Lineage: Bacteria
Description: partial 16S ribosomal RNA
Rfam family: Bacterial small subunit ribosomal RNA
Source: RNAcentral